This 377-nucleotide ribosomal RNA is filed under the name uncultured bacterium. Its description in RNAcentral is "bacterial SSU rRNA". It matches the Rfam family "Bacterial small subunit ribosomal RNA", at positions 430 to 793 of the family's 1533-position model. The record is from RNAcentral.
GCACUUUCAGUAGGGAGGAAGGUAGUGUAGUUAACACCUGCAUUAUUUUGACGUUACCUACAGAAGAAGCACCGGCUAACUCCGUGCCAGCAGCCGCGGUAAUACGGAGGGUGCGAGCGUUAAUCGGAAUUACUGGGCGUAAAGCGCAUGCAGGCGGCCUGUUAAGUCAGAUGUGAAAGCCCGGGGCUUAACCCUACGGAAUUGCUAUUUAGAAACUGGCAGGCUAGAGUCUUGUAGGAGGGGGUAGAAUUUCAGGUGUAGCGGUGAAAUGCGUAGAGAUCUGAAGGAAUACCAGUGGCGAACGGCGGCCCCCUGGACAAAGACUGACGCUGAGGUGCGAAAGUGUGGGGAGCAAACAGGAUUAGAUACCCUGGUAG